UGCGGAAAUGGGCUUCUGUAGUUGUGUGAAUGCAUCAUUCCAGCCAAUCCAACCAAUCAGGUGUAGAGACCAUGGUGACUGGCUCCGCCCCCUUACUGUCAAAAACAGCGAGCGCGCAGAAAACACCUUCUCGAGUAUGUUGUUUUUCACAUGAACGCAACUUUUGACCUGGGUUUGGCUCCAUGCUCGAGCGCUCAAAUUCUGGUUUUGCAAGCGAGCAAAUAGCUCCCGCGAGGUGGACUUAUGCUCUCUCGAGACCGACUUUUGGUCGCGCGUGAUUUGCGCUCUCGGGUUUUGACAGUAAUUUGCCUUCGUAGUGUGGGUUGUUGUGAGUCCGUUUCGAUCCGCUUCUUCACUGCAUUGCCCACAAUCAUCGGUCCUUACAGGGUACAACGCUGCAGUUCGCCCAUCUGGCCGACAGGUGGCAGUGACGACUACACUUUGAAAAAAAAAGCUAAACUUUAAGUGAAAAAACAGAAGGGGAGAAGAAAGGGGAAAGGAAAGAAGCUAGCGGCGCAGAGGUGAACUUUAGCGUGCAGCUAGCUCACAACUUUACCAACUCUCUGCGGUCGGCCGCAGCUUCCUUUCAGCCCGGUUCAGUCAGAGGAAACGAGGGCGCGAACAGCUGACUGACUUCCCCUUGUUUCACGCCGAUCACAGACUGAAGACUUCAAAGUGGAACUAGAAGAGAUGCACAUGAGGUAACAAAGCCCUUCCGGCUUAAACUAAUGCAGCCAAAAGUCUUGCAAUAAAUCUGACUACAUAUGAAGGUCAUAAUUCAAUUUUUCUUUUUGACCGGGAUCAAUUCACUGAUUAUUUGAAGGAUGUUAUUUGUGAUUCCUCUUUCCGGGAGGUGUUCCUAUUAUUGUGUCCGACGACCCAAUAACAUCACCAUUGGUUUCAUUAUGUUUCUGGAACUUGAUUUUUGUACGACUGAGGGAGAUUGUACCUUUUCAUAGAACAGAUUUGUGUGAUUUUUGUGUUUACUUGCAGCACAGGGAAUAAACAUCAGAACAGUGUUACAAUAUAGUAGGAGUAAUUAAACUAAACCAAGUGGUUCUUCUCUGUUGGGAACCGGAAGGCCACGUUAUGAUCAGAGCGCAAUGACAACAAAC
Long non-coding RNA from Gasterosteus aculeatus aculeatus (three-spined stickleback), 1115 nucleotides. Lineage: Eukaryota; Metazoa; Chordata; Actinopteri; Perciformes; Gasterosteidae. The record is from Ensembl.